GAUGAACGCUGGCGGCGUGCCUAAUACAUGCAAGUCGAGCGAACAGACGAGGAGCUUGCUCCUCUGACGUUAGCGGCGGACGGGUGAGUAACACGUGGAUAACCUACCUAUAAGACUGGGAUAACUUCGGGAAACCGGAGCUAAUACCGGAUAAUAUAUUGAACCGCAUGGUUCAAUAGUGAAAGACGGUUUUGCUGUCACUUAUAGAUGGAUCCGCGCCGCAUUAGCUAGUUGGUAAGGUAACGGCUUACCAAGGCGACGAUGCGUAGCCGACCUGAGAGGGGGAUCCGCCACAAUGGAACUGAGGCACGGUCCAGACCCCUACGGGGGGCAGCAGUAGGGAAUCUUCCGCAAUGGGCGAAAGCCUGACGGAGCAACGCCGCGUGAGUGAUGAAGGUCUUCGGAUCGUAAAACUCUGUUAUUAGGGAAGAACAAAUGUGUAAGUAACUAUGCACGUCUUGACGGUACCUAAUCAGAAAGCCACGGCUAACUACGUG
RNAcentral lists this ribosomal RNA (497 nucleotides) under uncultured bacterium. Its description in RNAcentral is "partial 16S ribosomal RNA". It matches the Rfam family "Bacterial small subunit ribosomal RNA", at positions 28 to 507 of the family's 1533-position model. The record is from RNAcentral.